UACACUACAGGAAACAGUAUU
Molecule: unclassified non-coding RNA, 21 nt
Filed under: Dictyostelium discoideum
Lineage: Eukaryota; Evosea; Eumycetozoa; Dictyosteliales; Dictyosteliaceae
Source: RNAcentral